RNAcentral lists this ribosomal RNA (271 nucleotides) under uncultured bacterium. RNAcentral describes it as "partial 16S ribosomal RNA". It matches the Rfam family "Bacterial small subunit ribosomal RNA", at positions 524 to 794 of the family's 1533-position model. The record is from RNAcentral.
UACGGAGGAUGCAAGCGUUAUCCGGAUUCAUUGGGUUUAAAGGGUGCGUAGGCGGCUCUUUAAGUCAGUGGUGAAAUCCUGCCGCUUAACGGUAGAAUUGCCAUUGAUACUGAAGAGCUUGAGUACAGUUGAGGUAAGCGGAAUGUGUAGUGUAGCGGUGAAAUGCUUAGAUAUUACACAGAACACCGAUUGCGAAGGCAGCUUACUAAACUGCAACUGACGCUGAUGCACGAAAGCGUGGGGAGCGAACAGGAUUAGAAACCCUAGUAGU